Molecule: ribosomal RNA, 301 nt
Filed under: uncultured bacterium
Lineage: Bacteria
Description: partial 16S ribosomal RNA
Rfam family: Bacterial small subunit ribosomal RNA
Source: RNAcentral
CAGUCGCCGCGGUAAUACAGAGGGUGCAAGCGUUAAUCGGAAUUACUGGGCGUAAAGCGCGCGUAGGUGGUUUGUUAAGUUGGAUGUGAAAGCCCCGGGCUCAACCUGGGAACUGCAUCCAAAACUGGCAAGCUAGAGUACGGUAGAGGGUGGUGGAAUUUCCUGUGUAGCGGAGAAAUGCGUAGAUAUAGGAAGGAACACCAGUGGCGAAGGCGACCACCUGGACUGAUACUGACACUGAGGUGCGAAAGCGUGGGGAGCAAACAGGAUUAGAUACCCGCGUAGUCCCUGUCUCUUAUAC